RNAcentral lists this ribosomal RNA (456 nucleotides) under uncultured Sphingobacteriales bacterium. Its description in RNAcentral is "bacterial SSU rRNA". It matches the Rfam family "Bacterial small subunit ribosomal RNA", at positions 925 to 1382 of the family's 1533-position model. Lineage: Bacteria; Pseudomonadati; Bacteroidota; Sphingobacteriia; Sphingobacteriales. The record is from RNAcentral.
ACAAGCGGAGGAGCAUGUGGUUUAAUUCGAUGAUACGCGAGGAACCUUACCUGGGCUCGAACGUAAGAUGACUGUAGGUGAAAGCUUACAUCUCUUCGGAGCAUUUUACGAGGUGCUGCAUGGUUGUCGUCAGCUCGUGCCGUGAGGUGUCGGGUUAAGUCCCAUAACGAGCGCAACCCCUACCUUUAGUUGCCACCAGGUAAUGCUGGGGACUCUAAAGGAACUGCCUACGCAAGUAGUGAGGAAGCGGGGAUGACGUCAAAUCAGCACGGCCCUUACGUCCAGGGCUACACACGUGCUACAAUGGCCGAUACAGAGGGCAGCUACCUGGUGACAGGAUGCAAAUCUCCAAAGUCGGUCUCAGUUCGGAUCGGAGUCUGCAACCCGACUCCGUGAAGUUGGAUUCGCUAGUAAUCGCGCAUCAGCCAUGGCGCGGUGAAUACGUUCCCGGGCCUU